Molecule: long non-coding RNA, 4001 nt
Filed under: Panax ginseng (ginseng)
Lineage: Eukaryota; Viridiplantae; Streptophyta; Magnoliopsida; Apiales; Araliaceae
Description: long non-coding RNA (PGIN_LNC006023)
Source: RNAcentral
AUAUAUAUCAUUAAUUAAUAUCCUUAAUACAAUAUCCCAGGUUAUCUAACUUUAACAUAACAUACAUACCUUCAGAUAUACAAAAUAUUUUUCACACAAUUAACAUACUAAUUAAAGUUAUAAUAACUACUCUGGCAUUUUGUCCUUGCCCUUGUCCUUAUCUGCCCCUCCUGCUACCUCAUCAUUAGCUGAAAUGUUAUAUUUAAGCAAGGGUGAGCAACGAUUUUGCUCUGCAAGUUAAAACAUUCAAUAAGAAAUAUGAAUCAAGAAUAUUAAAGUCUAGAUUCGAUAAGAAUUCAAUAAUACUCAACAGAUUUGGAAGUAGCUGAAUAAAUCGUUUAUCAAUAACAAGACUUUAUCGACUUUCACGCUAAACAACAAUUCAAUGAUGAAAGAGUAAAACUCUUACGAAGUUUCAAUACCGCUCAAUUGAUUAACAAGAGAUAAUAAUACUACAAUAACAAAGUCGGAUAUACCCAGAUUUUUAUGCCGAGUGAUCACAAUUUGAUCAUGAACUCUUAGGGGAAUUACCAGUAUACAAUACCAAACCCUAGAAUUAUAAGUUAGCUAUAAAAACUACACUAUAACUCUUUGCAAGUACCUGGAGCGGCCAACCCCUUUGUACCCGAUAUUAUGAAUAAUACUCCAACAUAGCGCAACAGCCGGAUGUCCGACCACAAGUUUCCCUUUUAUAUAAAGGUUGUUCAUCUCAGUCUUACAUCAAGAGUCUGUACCACAACAAUACGGUUUGGAUUUAAAAAAAUGCUAUGAUUUCAACAUCUAAUAUCUAUAUCAAUCUAGCCAAAAUAAUUGGCAUUGAUCUUUCAAUAACAACCUAGUUCAAAUACUAGAACGUAUCAAGUUUUAAUAAAUAUUUAUCUCACCAAAAAAAAUUAGCUAAGCCCUAGCUCAAAAACUGUUCAAUAAUAGACAGAAAUCAAUUGCCCUAUUUACAAUCAAUAAUACUAUUUAUAGAUAUGAAUAACUAACAAUAGUUAUUCACCAGUCACGCUUUUGAAAUGUAAAGCUCAAUUUAAGUUAACGAACUUGCACUAAUUGCGGAUGAUCAAUAAUAAUCCUAUAUGUGGUAUAAUCAGAAAUAAUUACCGACUUAACAUGAUGAUAAAUAAUAAUUCGAAUUUAAGUCAAAGAAAUUACAAUACAUACGAAUAUUCAAUAACAAUCUUAGAUGCAGAAUAAUCAUCAAUAAUUAUCUACUGACAUGUUUGAAAAAUAAUAACUCAAGCUUGAGUUAGGAAACUUGCCUUGGUCGUUGACUACUACUACACAAUAUAACUUAGAUGCGUUUAAAAGACCUAUAAUCAAUAAUAUUGGUCUCGCAAUUAGCGUAACAUAUUAUAACUCAUAACAAUACUAUUCUUGUAAUAAAUUAUCUAACAUGUACUCAUGUAAUCAAACAUUUAAUAAUACCUUAAUUAUUAGGAAUAUUAUCAUUCUUUAAUAAUACUAUUACCAUAUAACCAUUGUCUUAAAUUCUUGUCCAAUAUUAUUAAUCAUUUAAUAAUAUUUUAUUCACUUUCUAAUAUUAUUAACCAUUUAAUAAUAUUUUAACCCCAUAUUAAUAUUAUUAAUUAUUUAAUAAUACUUUAAUCACUUGAUAAUAUUAUUAAUCACUUAAUAAUAUUUCGUAUAUUAAUCACAUCUUAACCAAUUAUUAAUAUUAUUAAUCAAUUAAUAAUAUUUUAAUCAAUAUUUAAUAUCUUAACAAUUCAUAAAUAUUAUUAACCAUUUAAUAAUAUUUUAAUCAAUUAAUAAUAUUAUUAAUUAUUUAAUAAUAUUUAAAUUUAAUAUAAUAUUAUUAAUCAUUUAAUAAUAUUUUAAUUUAAUUUUAAUCUAAUAUUAUUAAUUAUUUAAUAAUAUUUUAAAUCAUUAUCUAUUAUUAUUAAUUAUUUAAUAAUAUUUUAAUUAAUUUCUCAUCUAAAUAUUAUUAAUUACUUAAUAAUAUCUUAAUUUAAUAUUAUUAAUCUCUUAAUAAUAUUUUAAUCAUUUGUUAUACUAAUAAAAAAUUUAUUCUAAUUGUUUACCCUUUACUAAUUACUUUAUUUAACAACCCUAAUAUGUCAUAAAUAUAACAUCUCAUCAAAAAUGACCAAACUAGCCUAAAAAAAUCUGGACACNNNNNNNNNNNNNNNNNNNNNNNNNNNNNNNNNNNNNNNNNNNNNNNNNNNNNNNNNNNNNNNNNNNNNNNNNNNNNNNNNNNNNNNNNNNNNNNNNNNNGCCGUUAUUUUUAUAAAAAGAUAAUUCUAUCAUUUUUUAACUAUGACAAUACUUCUAUUGUGGGGUCCACCAAUGAUUGUGCCGUCAUACGGAUAUCACUUAAUAAUAUUUCGUAUAUUAAUCACAUCUUAACCAAUUAUUAAUAUUAUUAAUCAAUUAAUAAUAUUUUAAUCAAUAUUUAAUAUCUUAACAAUUCAUAAAUAUUAUUAACCAUUUAAUAAUAUUUCGUAUAUUAAUCACAUCUUAACCAAUUAUUAAUAUUAUUAAUCAAUUAAUAAUAUUUUAAUCAAUAUUUAAUAUCUUAACAAUUCAUAAAUAUUAUUAACCAUUUAAUAAUAUUUUAAUCAAUUAAUAAUAUUAUUAAUUAUUUAAUAAUAUUUAAAUUUAAUAUAAUAUUAUUAAUCAUUUAAUAAUAUUUUAAUUUAAUUUUAAUCUAAUAUUAUUAAUUAUUUAAUAAUAUUUUAAAUCAUUAUCUAUUAUUAUUAAUUAUUUAAUAAUAUUUUAAUUAAUUUCUCAUCUAAAUAUUAUUAAUUACUUAAUAAUAUCUUAAUUUAAUAUUAUUAAUCUCUUAAUAAUAUUUUAAUCAUUUGUUAUACUAAUAAAAAAUUUAUUCUAAUUGUUUACCCUUUACUAAUUACUUUAUUUAACAACCCUAAUAUGUCAUAAAUAUAACAUCUCAUCAAAAAUGACCAAACUAGCCUAAAAAAAUCUGGACACAUCAUAUUUAGGGUCUCUAAGUCAUAAAUUUAUAUUUUUGCCAUUUAUGACAUCACAUAACUUACUAUUCUUAUUUAUUUAUAACUCAAACACAUCCAUGAAAAUUACUGAAAAUAGUUCUGAAAAUUCUUAUUUUCUGGAAAAUAUCAGUAAUUGGUAUCAUGAUGAAAAUAUAAUUUUUCUAGAAUUUUUGGAUUUCAUUUAGUAUUUUUAAAAUGACCAAAAUAGUCAGAUCUUGCAACAAUUAUCAUGAACAAUUUUUAAGUCCAACCAUUACGAAAUUUUCAGGAGUUAUUCCUGUUAUGUAUAUGUACUUCCAGUAAAAUUUCACAAUAUUUGGAGGUACACAGAAAAAGUUAUUUUGUUUUACUUUUAAAAUAGUCCUUCCUUGUAAAAUCCAUAACUCUCAUUCUACACAUCCAAAAAUAGCCAUCUUUGGACUUGAUCUAGAUAACUCAUCAUACUAUCCUACCAAAAUUUUACAGAAUUUUUAAAGUUAAUAAAAAUGACGAAACUGCUCCUGCAAAAACAGGCCAGAAAUUGCCCUUUAACAUUUUUAGUGCUACCACUUGGGUUUAACAGUUAACUUGCAUAUCUAGCACCCCUCUUUUACGGAUCACAAAAAGAAGGUGUAGAUUUAAAAUGGUGGAUUUUUAAAGUAGAGAAAGAUUAGGAUUUUCUAAACUAGAAAACCUAUAUUUCUUUUCUACCUUUUAAUCAACAUAUAAACAUUCAAAAUGGUUAGAUCUAAACAUAAAAUACUCAUUAAUAUGUAGAUCUAAUGUUUUUGAGUUUAGAAUCAUAAAUCCAAAUUUUAAUUUAAAACGACUAAAAUAAAUUACAUAAACUAGUUUAGGAUUUUUAAUUUAUACCUUGUGUAGAUGUUCUUCUUUCUUCUUCUUCUAAGGCUUGCUAUGGAAUUUGAUGAUUUACAAAAACUCACUCUCUCUUUCUUAAGGCAUGGCUGCCCCUCUUCUUUUAUUUCUCUCUAUAAUAUUUUCUCUCUUUUAGGAACUUAGAAAAAUGAAGUAAAACUUUUAUUUGCA